This 440-nucleotide ribosomal RNA is filed under the name Blastocystis sp. RNAcentral's name for it is "SSU rRNA". It matches the Rfam family "Eukaryotic small subunit ribosomal RNA", at positions 477 to 933 of the family's 1831-position model. Lineage: Eukaryota; Bigyra; Opalinata; Blastocystidae. The record is from RNAcentral.
ACAAUGCGGGACUAUCAGUCUUGCAAUUGGAUUGAGAACAAUGUACAACUCUUAUCGAUAAGCCAUUGGAGGGCAAGUCUGGUGCCAGCAGCCGCGGUAAUUCCAGCUCCAAUAGCGUAUAUUAACGUUGUUGCAGUUAAAAAGCUCGUAGUUGAAGUGUGGGUGGUGCCAUCUGUGAAGCUUCGGUCUCUAGGAUAUUCAUCACCCCCUUCCAGUAUCCAGUAGUGGGUAUUCAGUUACUUACUAUUGUGUGUUGGUCAUUUACUGUGAGAAAAUUAGAGUGUUCAAAGCAGGCGUUUGCUUGAAUAGAUUAGCAUGGAAUAAUAAUUGAAGGCUUUCGUGUUCGAUUUGAUUGGUUUGUUCAUGGAAGCAAGGUUAAAAGGAACAGUUGGGGGUAUUCAUAUUCACUAGUUAGAGGUGAAAUUCUCGGAUUUAUGGAA